This 199-nucleotide ribosomal RNA is filed under the name uncultured bacterium. RNAcentral describes it as "partial 16S ribosomal RNA". It matches the Rfam family "Bacterial small subunit ribosomal RNA", at positions 328 to 539 of the family's 1533-position model. The record is from RNAcentral.
ACGCUCGACACCUACGGGAGGCAGCAGUCGGGAAUAUUGCGCAAUGGAGGAAACUCUGACGCAGUGACGCCGCGUAUAGGAAGAAGGUUUUCGGAUUGUAAACUAUUGUCGUUAGGGAAGAUACAAGACAGUACCUAAGGAGGAAGCACCGGCUAACUAUGUGCCAGCAGCCGUGGUAAUCUGAGCGGGCUGGCAAGGC